RNAcentral lists this ribosomal RNA (468 nucleotides) under uncultured bacterium. Its description in RNAcentral is "partial 16S ribosomal RNA". It matches the Rfam family "Bacterial small subunit ribosomal RNA", at positions 28 to 507 of the family's 1533-position model. The record is from RNAcentral.
GACGAACGCUGGCGGCGUGCUUAACACAUGCAAGUCGAACGGAAAGGCCCUGCUUUUGUGGGGUGCUCGAGUGGCGAACGGGUGAGUAACACGUGAGUAACCUGCCCUUGACUUUGGGAUAACUUCAGGAAACUGGGGCUAAUACCGGAUAGGAGCUCCUGCUGCAUGGGGGGGGUUGGAAAGUUUCGGCGGUUGGGGAUGGACUCGCGGCUUAUCAGCUUGUUGGUGGGGUAGUGGAUUACCAAGGCUUUGACGGGUAGCCGGCCUGAGAGGGUGACCGGCCACAAUGGGACUGAGAGACGGACCAGACUCCUACGGGAGGCAGCAGUGGGGAAUAUUGCACAAUGGGCGGAAGCCUGAUGCAGCAACGCCGCGUGCGUGAUGACGGCCUUCGGGUUGUAAACAGCUUUCGACUGUGACGAAGCGUGAGUGACGGUAAUGGGUAAAGAAGCACCGGCUAACUACGUG